This 583-nucleotide ribosomal RNA is filed under the name uncultured bacterium. Its description in RNAcentral is "bacterial SSU rRNA". It matches the Rfam family "Bacterial small subunit ribosomal RNA", at positions 102 to 681 of the family's 1533-position model. The record is from RNAcentral.
ACGGGUGAGUAAUGCAUCGGGAUCUACCCUGACGUGGGGGAUAACCUCGGGAAACCGGGACUAAUACCGCAUACGUCCUACGGGAGAAAGCGGGGGACCUUCGGGCCUCGCGCGGCAGGACGAACCGAUGUGCGAUUAGCUAGUUGGCGGGGUAAUGGCCCACCAAGGCGACGAUCGCUAGCUGGUCUGAGAGGAUGAUCAGCCACACUGGGACUGAGACACGGCCCAGACUCCUACGGGAGGCAGCAGUGGGGAAUAUUGGACAAUGGGCGCAAGCCUGAUCCAGCAAUGCCGCGUGUGUGAAGAAGGCCUUCGGGUUGUAAAGCACUUUUAUCAGGAGCGAAAUACUACGGGUUAAUAACCCGUGGGGCUGACGGUACCUGAGGAAUAAGCACCGGCUAACUUCGUGCCAGCAGCCGCGGUAAUACGAAGGGUGCAAGCGUUAAUCGGAAUUACUGGGCGUAAAGGGUGCGCAGGCGGUUCGUUAAGUCUGUUGUGAAAUCCCCGGGCUCAACCUGGGAAUGGCAAUGGAUACUGGCGAGCUAGAGUGUGUCAGAGGAUGGUGGAAUUCCCGGUGUAGCGG